CCAUAUCAUAAGCUUCUCUUUUGUUGUUUUGUUUUAUCUCUGCUAAAAUUUAUUGAAUUUUCCUUUCAAGCCACAAAAUCAGAACCUACUUAUUGUAACAAUAAAAAACAAAAUCAUUGCUAGAAAAUAAAGAAAAAGCCAACAAUGCCCCUCUUCCUUGCAUUCCCUGGGCAAUCAGAGUAACCACCACAGCUAUUUCUGAAAUAUAUCAAAGCCUUCCACACAGCCUUGGAAGAGAAAAGGAGAAAUAGAAGUUGGAAGUCUUCAUUCAUCUUGAAUGGUGGAAUGCUCACGCUACAAAUUCUGAGGCGCAGAGAAAAUGCAAAUCCUCUAUUUUGACCAUAAUUACUCAGCCUGACAAAAGAACUUCUUACUCCAUGGUCAGGAUGACUGAAUGUACUCUAUAGCAUAGUCUUCAUCCUAUUUGGUAAUCCUCACCCAUAUCUGUUGUCAGGAUGUCCCCUGGAUGACAGUGAUACAUCAGAGAUGAUAUAAAGAGGAUCCCAAAUCCAUGUGUAC
This 519-nucleotide long non-coding RNA is filed under the name Rattus norvegicus (Norway rat). RNAcentral describes it as "long non-coding RNA NONRATT031937". The record is from RNAcentral. Lineage: Eukaryota; Metazoa; Chordata; Mammalia; Rodentia; Muridae.